Molecule: non-coding RNA, 148 nt
Filed under: Gorilla gorilla gorilla (western lowland gorilla)
Lineage: Eukaryota; Metazoa; Chordata; Mammalia; Primates; Hominidae
Source: Rfam by way of RNAcentral
GCCAGGUGUGGUGGCGCACGCCUGUAAUCCCAGCUACUCAGGAGGCUGAGGCAGCAGAAUUGCUUGAACCUGGGAGGUGGAGGUUGCAGUGAGACAAGAUUGAGCCACUGCACUCCAGCCUGGGUGACAGAGCAAGACUCUGUCUCAA